Molecule: ribosomal RNA, 448 nt
Filed under: uncultured bacterium
Lineage: Bacteria
Description: bacterial SSU rRNA
Rfam family: Bacterial small subunit ribosomal RNA
Source: RNAcentral
CCAGACUCCUACGGGAGGCAGCAGUGGGGAAUAUUGGACAAUGGGGGGAACCCUGAUCCAGCGACGCCGCGUGAGUGAAGAAGUAUUUCGGUAUGUAAAGCUCUAUCAGCAGGGAAGAAGAAAUGACGGUACCUGACUAAGAAGCCCCGGCUAACUACGUGUCAGCAGCCGCGGUAAUACGUAGGGGGCAAGCGUUAUCCGGAUUUACUGGGUGUAAAGGGAGCGUAGACGGCAGUGCAAGUCUGAAGUGAAAGCCCCGGGCUUAACCCGGGAACUGCUUUGGAAACUGUACGGCUGGAGUGCUGGAGAGGUAAGCGGAAUUCCUAGUGUAGCGGUGAAAUGCGUAGAUAUUAGGAGGAACACCAGUGGCGAAGGCGGCUUACUGGACAGUAACUGACGUUGAGGCUCGAAAGCGUGGGGAGCAAACAGGAUUAGAUACCCCCGUAAA